RNAcentral lists this ribosomal RNA (497 nucleotides) under uncultured bacterium. RNAcentral describes it as "partial 16S ribosomal RNA". It matches the Rfam family "Bacterial small subunit ribosomal RNA", at positions 28 to 507 of the family's 1533-position model. The record is from RNAcentral.
GAUGAACGCUGGCGGCGUGCCUAAUACAUGCCAGUCGAGCGAACGGACGAGAAGCUUGCUUUUCUGAUGUUAGCGGCGGACGGGUGAGUAACACGUGGAUAACCUACCUAUAAGACUGGGAUAACUUCGGGAAACCGGAGCUAAUACCGGAUAAUAUUUUGAACCGCAUGGUUCAAAAGUGAAAGACGGUCUUGCUGUCACUUAUAGAUGGAUCCGCGCUGCAUUAGCUAGUUGGUAAGGUAACGGCUUACCAAGGCAACGAUGCAUAGCCGACCUGAGAGGGUGAUCGGCCACACUGGAACUGAGACACGGUCCAGACUCCUACGGGAGGCAGCAGUAGGGAAUCUUCCGCAAUGGGCGAAAGCCUGACGGAGCAACGCCGCGUGAGUGAUGAAGGUCUUCGGAUCGUAAAACUCUGUUAUUAGGGAAGAACAUAUGUGUAAGUAACUGUACACAUCUUGACGGUACCUAAUCAGAAAGCCACGGCUAACUACGUG